AUGAGGUACAAAUGCCGUGGGAAUCACAGGGAGCUAUCAGAGUAAAACACUGGGAGAGAAUAUGGACCCAGGUCGGGACCAAGAAGCUGACCCUGUCCCACAGGUGCUGAGGGACCGGUCAUCAUGGCAGCAGAGUACAGUUGGGCUAGAGAUGUCUUGGAAUAACUUUGAUGACCAGUCUCCAACUUCUUGGUUUGCCACUUGCCUACAAUGACCUUUCACCUCCUUCAUAGCAAAGUCCUUUGUUGUCAUUGUUCUUAUGUUGUGCAUCUGAGGAGGUCAAAGGUCAACCUCAGGCAUUGUUCCACAAGGUGUCAUCCACGUUGACUUUGUUUUGUUUUUAGGUUUAGGGUCUCUCCCUCAAUCCAAUAGGGUGGCACGCACGGCUGACCAGGAGGCCCAGGGAUCUUCCUGGCUCCACAGGGUCAGAGCUAAGAUUGCAAAUGGCACCACCAUGCUGAGGUUUUUGUUUUUGUUUUUGUUUUUGUUUUUUAAAUCUGGGUUCUGGGGCCUGAAUGCAGGUCCUUGUGGUUGAGUGAAAAACACUUUACCACUGAGCUAUCCCCUCAGCCUCCUUCAAGACAAAAUUUAGAUGACAAUCAAGGUCAGCUCAUGAUCCAUCACUGAGGGAAGUUCUUGUCAGCCUCUCAUAACCCAGCCAAUCUUUAUCUAAAGCCCUGAGCAAGUCCAGUCUUCUCUACUGUGGUUCACACAGUUUCUGCUGGAAACAGCCUUCCAGACCUCCAGAGGCAAGAGCACCCAGAACUGCCAGGUGUCUGAUAUGUCACAAUGAAUGGAAACAGGAAACAUUCCGUCCUGCAGGAAGCUCCUUGGGAUUAGGGAGCUGAUCACAGAGGCCUCAGAGGGGAAAGCCACGGAGCGCACAGGAACCAACUGCUCAUCUUUGCCUGCAUGCCACAUGUUCAGCAAACAAACCCUGGCUCAGAAAUCCCCGGUUUCUCCAGAAUGCAAGCGUUCCCAGGGAAAUUGAGGUGUAAAUUGGUUACCUGGCAUGUUGUUUUGAACUUGACUCCACAUAAAGAGAUGUUUAUUUCC
RNAcentral lists this long non-coding RNA (1056 nucleotides) under Mus caroli (Ryukyu mouse). RNAcentral's name for it is "lncRNA (MGP_CAROLIEiJ_G0006126.1)". The record is from RNAcentral. Lineage: Eukaryota; Metazoa; Chordata; Mammalia; Rodentia; Muridae.